RNAcentral lists this ribosomal RNA (1406 nucleotides) under Salmonella enterica. Its description in RNAcentral is "partial 23S ribosomal RNA". It matches the Rfam family "Bacterial large subunit ribosomal RNA", at positions 412 to 1637 of the family's 2925-position model. Lineage: Bacteria; Pseudomonadati; Pseudomonadota; Gammaproteobacteria; Enterobacterales; Enterobacteriaceae. The record is from RNAcentral.
GUAGGGCGGGACACGUGGUAUCCUGUCUGAAUAUGGGGGGACCAUCCUCCAAGGCUAAAUACUCCUGACUGACCGAUAGUGAACCAGUACCGUGAGGGAAAGGCGAAAAGAACCCCGGCGAGGGGAGUGAAAAAGAACCUGAAACCGUGUACGUACAAGCAGUGGGAGCCCCACCACUAAGCCAGUGGUGAACUCCACAUACGCAUCCUUUGCUGAAGGCAAUGGUUAACGGAGCGAAAGCGACGUUCAACCGCAAAACAAGCAGAGGGGGCUUAGUGGUGGGGUGACUGCGUACCUUUUGUAUAAUGGGUCAGCGACUUAUAUUCUGUAGCAAGGUUAACCGUAUAGGGGAGCCGGAGGGAAACCGAGUCUUAAUUGGGCGUUAAGUUGCAGGGUAUAGACCCGAAACCCGGUGAUCUAGCCAUGGGCAGGUUGAAGGUUGGGUAACACUAACUGGAGGACCGAACCGACUAAUGUUGAAAAAUUAGCGGAUGACCUGUGGCUGGGGGUGAAAGGCCAAUCAAACCGGGAGAUAGCUGGUUCUCCCCGAAAGCUAUUUAGGUAGCGCCUCGUGAAUUCAUCUCCGGGGGUAGAGCACUGUUUCGGCUAGGGGGCCAUCCCGGCUUACCAACCCGAUGCAAACUGCGAAUACCGGAGAAUGUUAUCACGGGAGACACACGGCGGGUGCUAACGUCCGUCGUGAAGAGGGAAACAACCCAGACCGCCAGCUAAGGUCCCAAAGUCAUGGUUAAGUGGGAAACGAUGUGGGAAGGCCCAGACAGCCAGGAUGUUGGCUUAGAAGCAGCCAUCAUUUAAAGAAAGCGUAAUAGCUCACUGGUCGAGUCGGCCUGCGCGGAAGAUGUAACGGGGCUAAACCAUGCACCGAAGCUGCGGCAGCGAACGUAUCACUUAAAGCGAUUCAGCGGGUUACGAUUGACGGAGCGAAGCGACGUCAAAGCGUAUACAAAGUCGAGUCGGUUUAAGGAUACGUUCGUUGGGUAGGGGAGCGUUCUGUAAGCCUGCGAAGGUGGCCUGUGAGGGUUGCUGGAGGUAUCAGAAGUGCGAAUGCUGACAUAAGUAACGAUAAAGCGGGUGAAAAGCCCGCUCGCCGGAAGACCAAGGGUUCCUGUCCAACGUUAAUCGGGGCAGGGUGAGUCGACCCCUAAGGCGAGGCCGAAAGGCGUAGUCGAUGGGAAACGGGUUAAUAUUCCCGUACUUGGUGUUACUGCGAAGGGGGGACGGAGAAGGCUAUGUUGGCCGGGCGACGGUUGUCCCGGUUUAAGCGUGUAGGCUGGUUUUCCAGGCAAAUCCGGAAAAUCAAGGCUGAGGCGUGACGACGAGGCACUACGGUGCUGAAGCAACAAAUGCCCUGCUUCCAGGAAAAGCCUCUAAGCAUCAGGUAACAC